Molecule: ribosomal RNA, 733 nt
Filed under: uncultured Campylobacter sp.
Lineage: Bacteria; Pseudomonadati; Campylobacterota; Epsilonproteobacteria; Campylobacterales; Campylobacteraceae
Description: bacterial SSU rRNA
Rfam family: Bacterial small subunit ribosomal RNA
Source: RNAcentral
AGUGAACGCUGGCGGCGUGCCUAAUACAUGCAAGUCGAACGGAAUUUAAAAGAGCUUGCUCUUUUAAAUUUAGUGGCGCACGGGUGAGUAAUAUAUAGCUAAUCUGCCCCUUGCUGGAGGACAACAGUUAGAAAUGACUGCUAAUACUCCAUACUCCUUUUUACCAUAAGAUAAAUCGGGAAAGAAUUUCGGCAAGGGAUGAGACUAUAUCGUAUCAGCUAGUCGGUGGGGUAACGGCCUACCGAGGCUAUGACGCGUAACUGGUCUGAGAGGAUGAUCAGUCACAUUGGAACUGAGACACGGUCCAAACUCCUACGGGAGGCAGCAGUAGGGAAUAUUGCGCAAUGGGGGAAACCCUGACGCAGCAACGCCGCGUGGAGGAUGACACUUUUCGGAGCGUAAACUCCUUUUGUUAGGGAAGAAUAAUGACGGUACCUAACGAAUAAGCACCGGCUAACUCCGUGCCAGCAGCCGCGGUAAUACGGAGGGUGCAAGCGUUACUCGGAAUCACUGGGCGUAAAGGACGCGUAGGCGGAUUAUCAAGUCUCUUGUGAAAUCUAACGGCUCAACCGUUAAACUGCUUGGGAAACUGAUAAUCUAGAGUAAGGGAGAGGCAGAUGGAAUUCUUGGUGUAGGGGUAAAAUCCGUAGAUAUCAAGAAGAAUACCUAUUGCGAAGGCGAUCUGCUGGAACUUAACUGACGCUAAUGCGUGAAAGCGUGGGGAGCAAACAGG